This 497-nucleotide ribosomal RNA is filed under the name uncultured bacterium. RNAcentral's name for it is "partial 16S ribosomal RNA". It matches the Rfam family "Bacterial small subunit ribosomal RNA", at positions 28 to 507 of the family's 1533-position model. The record is from RNAcentral.
GAUGAACGCUGGCGGCGUGCCUAAUACAUGCAAGUCGAGCGAACGGACGAGAAGCUUGCUUCUCUGAUGUUAGCGGCGGACGGGUGAGUAACACGUGGAUAACCUACCUAUAAGACUGGGAUAACUUCGGGAAACCGGAGCUAAUACCGGAUGAUAUUUUGAACCGCAUGGUUCAAAAGUGAAAGACGGUCUUGCUGUCACUUAUAGAUGGAUCCGCGCUGCAUUAGCUAGUUGGUAAGGUAACGGCUUACCAAGGCAACGAUGCAUAGCCGACCUGAGAGGGUGAUCGGCCACACGGGAACUGAGACAAGGUCCAGACUCCUACGGGAGGCAGCAGUAGGGAAUCUUCCGCAAUGGGCGAAAGCCUGACGGAGCAACGCCGCGUGAGUGAUGAAGGUCUUCGGAUCGUAAAACUCUGUUAUUAGGGAAGAACAUAUGUGUAAGUAACUGUGCACAUCUUGACGGUACCUAAUCAGAAAGCCACGGCUAACUACGUG